AACGAACGCUGGCGGCAGGCCUAACACAUGCAAGUCGAACGCUCGUAGCAAUACGGGAGUGGCGCACGGGUGAGUAACGCGUGGGCACCUGCCCGGUGGUUUGGGAUAACCGUGGGAAACUGCGGCUAAUACCGGAUACGCCCCUAGGGGGAAAGAUUUAUCGCCAUCGGAUGGGCCCGCGUAGGAUUAGCUAGUUGGUGAGGUAACGGCUCACCAAGGCGACGAUCCUUAGCUGGUCUGAGAGGAUGAUCAGCCACACUGGGACUGAGACACGGCCCAGACUCCUACGGGAGGCAGCAGUGGGGAAUAUUGGACAAUGGGGGCAACCCUGAUCCAGCCAUGCCGCGUGAGUGAAGAAGGCCUUCGGGUUGUAAAGCUCUUUUGGCGGGGACGAUGAUGACGGUACCCGCAGAAUAAGCCCCGGCUAACUUCGUGCCAGCAGCCGCGGUAAGACGAAGGGGGCUAGCGUUGUUCGGAAUUACUGGGCGUAAAGGGCGCGUAGGCGGUUUGUUAAGUCAGGCGUGAAAGCCCUGGGCUCAACCUGGGAGGUGCGCUUGAUACUGGCAAGCUUGAGUGCAGGAGAGGAUGGUGGAAUUCCCAGUGUAGAGGUGAAAUUCGUAGAUAUUGGGAAGAACACCGGUGGCGAAGGCGGCCAUCUGGACUGCA
RNAcentral lists this ribosomal RNA (666 nucleotides) under uncultured Alphaproteobacteria bacterium. Its description in RNAcentral is "bacterial SSU rRNA". It matches the Rfam family "Bacterial small subunit ribosomal RNA", at positions 28 to 738 of the family's 1533-position model. Lineage: Bacteria; Pseudomonadati; Pseudomonadota; Alphaproteobacteria. The record is from RNAcentral.